This 492-nucleotide ribosomal RNA is filed under the name uncultured bacterium. RNAcentral's name for it is "partial 16S ribosomal RNA". It matches the Rfam family "Bacterial small subunit ribosomal RNA", at positions 29 to 507 of the family's 1533-position model. The record is from RNAcentral.
AGUGAACGCUGGCGGUAGGCCUAACACAUGCAAGUCGAACGGCGGCACAGUAAGAGCUUGCUCUUACGGGUGGCGAGUGGCGGACGGGUGAGGAAUACAGCGGAAUCUACUUUUUCGUGGGGGAUAACGUAGGGAAACUUACGCUAAUACCGCAUACGACCUACGGGUGAAAGCAGGGGAUCUUCGGACCUUGCGCGAUUGAAUGAGCCGAUGUCGGAUUAGCUAGUUGGCGGGGUAAAGGCCCACCAAGGCGACGAUCCGUAGCUGGUCUGAGAGGAUGAUCAGCCACACUGGAACUGAGACACGGUCCAGACUCCUACGGGAGGCAGCAGUGGGGAAUAUUGGACAAUGGGGGCAAGCCUGAUCCAGCCAUACCGCGUGGGUGAAGAAGGCCUUCGGGUUGUAAAGCCAUUUUGUUGGGAAAGAAAAGCAGCAGGUUAAUACCCCGCUGUUCUGACGGUACCCAAAGAAUAAGCACCGGCUAACUUCGUG